CGCACGGGUGAGUAACACGUAUCCAACCUGCCGUCUACUCUUGGACAGCCUUCUGAAAGGAAGAUUAAUACAAGAUGGCAUCAUGGGUCCGCAUGUUCACAUGAUUAAAGGUAUUCCGGUAGACGAUGGGGAUGCGCUCCAUUAGAUAGUAGGCGGGGUAACGGCCCACCUAGUCUUCGAUGGAUAGGGGUUCUGAGAGGAAGGUCCCCCACAUUGGAACUGAGACACGGUCCAAACUCCUACGGGAGGCAGCAG
RNAcentral lists this ribosomal RNA (255 nucleotides) under uncultured bacterium. RNAcentral's name for it is "partial 16S ribosomal RNA". It matches the Rfam family "Bacterial small subunit ribosomal RNA", at positions 99 to 354 of the family's 1533-position model. The record is from RNAcentral.